This is an RNA transcript of Rhinopithecus roxellana (golden snub-nosed monkey), 2288 nucleotides long. It is a transcript of the gene named PDZ and LIM domain 2, with no coding region annotated. NCBI's taxonomy places the organism in Eukaryota, Metazoa, Chordata, Mammalia, Primates, Cercopithecidae. The record is from RefSeq and is a predicted model, not a curated record. The transcript has 10 exons.
ACCCAGGCAGCCCACCCUGCCCAGGACUUGGGGAUGCGGAGCGGGAGAGCGCGGCCGGCGUGGGAAAGCUUUAUGGGGCUGCCCCCUCGGCCGUCUGCGAACUGGGGCGCGGGGCCGUCACUGGACCGGCUCCGCUGUGCCCCGGGCGGUCGGGGGCGUACGGGCGCUCCGGGGAGGAUGCGGGCGCCACCGGCUGGACGGCUGCAGCCUGCAGGGGGCCCUGGGGACAGCCUGCCCCAUCCCCCCGGCGGGCUCGGGCCAGGUGGCAGCGCCUGGGCUCGCCGCGCGGAGGCGGCGGCUUCCCGGGCCAGGGGCGGCGGCAGGGGCGGCCCCGGGAUCACAUGGGCGGAGGCAGGUCCCGGAGCCCCGGGCGGGCUCUCCCCAGAGUCGGGCAGACGGCAGCGGGAGCUGCGGCGUCUCCUCGCCCUCUCUCCCUCCCGGGCCUGGGCGCCCAGCCCGACAGGUGAGCGGCAGCCAGGUGAGCGUGCCCACCUGCGCCCCUCCGCGCGGCCCGCCAUCCCCGGCGCCCGGUUCCUCUCCGCGCCCCUCUCGGCGCGGGACCCUGGCCUCGUCCCCGGCCCGGCUCCUUGCAGCCUCGCAUCGGCGGGGGCGCCCCAGCGGGUUGCACUCUCCCCGGCCGGCGCGCUCCUCCUCCAGCCCCCGGCCCGCAGGGUACUUUGCCCUCAGAGCGAAAGAGGCACCAGAACUGGGAGAGCCGGGCCAUCCAGCUGGGCACCUCCCCGCGGCGCCCGCAGCGCGGAGUCCACUGACCGGCUCAAAGGUAUGGUGCUCACAGUGGAUGUGGCCGGGCCGGCGCCCUGGGGCUUCCGUAUCACAGGGGGCAGGGAUUUCCACACGCCCAUCAUGGUGACCAAGGUGGCUGAGCGGGGCAAAGCCAAGGACGCUGACCUCCGGCCUGGAGACAUAAUUGUAGCCAUCAACGGGGAAAGCGCGGAGGGCAUGCUGCAUGUGGAGGCCCAGAGCAAGAUCCGCCAGAGCCCCUCGCCUCUGCGGCUGCAGCUGGACCGGUCUCAGGCUGCGUCUCCAGGACAGACCAAUGGGGACAGCUCCUUGGAAGUGCUGGCGACUCGCUUUCAGGGCUCCGUGAGGACACACACUGAGAGUCAUUCCUCCCUAAGGUCCUCCUACUCUAGCCCAACCUCCCUCAGCCCGAGGGCUGGCAGCCCCUUCUCACCACCACCCUUCAGUAGCCCCCUCGCUGGAGAGGCGGCCAUCAGCCGCAGUUUCCAGAGUCUGGCGUGUUCCCCGGGCCUCCCUGCUGCUGAUCGCCUGUCCUACUCAGGCCGCCCCGGAAGCCGACAGGCUGGCCUCGGCCGAGCUGGCGACUCGGCGGUGCUGGUGCUGCCGCCUUCCCCAGGCCCUCGUUCCUCUAGGCCCAGCCCCGACAAAGGACCCUCAUUCCUGGCUGCCACCCACCCAACAGCGUGGACUUGGAAGGGGGAAGCCUCCUCCUGGACGAGGACUCGGAAGUCUUCAAGAUGCUCCAGGAAAAUCGCGACGGACGGGCGGCCCCCCGACAGUCCAGCUCCUUUCGGCUCUUGCAGGAAGCCCUGGAGGCUGAGGAGAGAGGUGGCACGCCAGCCUUCCUGCCCAGCUCACUGAGCCCCCAGUCCUCCCUGCCCGCCUCCAGGGCCCUGGCCACCCCUCCCAAGCUCCACACUUGUGAGAAGUGCAGUACCAGCAUCGUGAACCAGGCUGUGCGCAUCCAGGAGGGCCGGUAUCGCCACCCAGGCUGCUACACCUGCGCCGACUGUGGGCUGAACCUGAAGAUGCGUGGGCACUUCUGGGUGGGUGACGAGCUGUACUGUGAGAAGCAUGCCCGCCAGCGCUACUCCGCCCCUGCCGCCCCCAGCUCUCGGGCUUGAGCCCGCCAUGCCCUCAGCCUGCCUCCCUGCUGGGCCAGGGUCAUGCCUGUAUAAGUUGGCAUGGCAGGGACAAUGGUGGGCAGUUGCUCUUACAUGAGCUAAGUUUGGAGACCUGAGGCCCCUUUGUCCUCACUGGAUGGGCCAAGGUCUGGGACCUGUGUUGGACUGUGGGAGUCUUACCCUCACCUUGCCAGGCCUCUCCCCUGCAGGACUGGUAUUGCACUAGUCUGAGGUGGCCACUGCCUUUGAUCAACCUUUGUGUACCAUGGUCUAAGCAGGGUCGAACACAGAAGUGGAAAGGAGAGAGGUGGGCCAGGGGCUAAUGGUGUCACUGUAUAAAGUUUUUGACUUAUGAGCUGUAUAAAUGUAUGAAUAUGGACAAAAUAAAGUGGACGUCCCUUC